CAGGCUGGUCGGGUGAUCGCGGCCCAGAAUUUUAUUCCGGGUCGAGGAAAGUCCGCACUUCAUAGGGCACGGUGCCGAGGAAAUCUCGGGAUGGAGAAAUCUGUCGGUUCGGGCCACAGAAACAGGUAGCCUUCAUACUGCCCUCUCCCUAAGGGAGAGGGCUAGGGUGAGGGUCAUAGUGAAAAGGUGGUGUAAGAGACCACCGGCGUUCGCAGUAAUGUGGGCGGCCAGGUAACCCCCGCCGGAAGCAAGGCCAAGCAGAGACGGUGAGCGGCCCGUUCUUUACGUCUCGGGUAGGCUGCACAGAUAGAUGAUCGCCUAAGGGAUGCAAAUCUCUGGACAAAAUGCGGCUUAUAGACCAGCCUGAGGU
RNAcentral lists this RNase P RNA (370 nucleotides) under Anaerolineales bacterium. RNAcentral describes it as "RNase P RNA component class A". It matches the Rfam family "Bacterial RNase P class A". From Rfam's summary of the family: Ribonuclease P (RNase P) is a ubiquitous endoribonuclease, found in archaea, bacteria and eukarya as well as chloroplasts and mitochondria. Its best characterised activity is the generation of mature 5'-ends of tRNAs by cleaving the 5'-leader elements of precursor-tRNAs. Cellular RNase Ps are ribonucleoproteins. The record is from RNAcentral. Lineage: Bacteria; Bacillati; Chloroflexota; Anaerolineae; Anaerolineales. RNAcentral also lists the same sequence under 1 other name.